AUUGAACGCUGGCUGCAGGCCUAACACAUGCAAGUCGAACGAGUGGCGGACGGGUGAGUAAUGUCUGGGAAACUGCCUGAUGGAGGGGGAUCACUACUGGAAACGGUAGCUAAUACCGCCUACCAUCGGAUGUGCCCAGAUGGGCUUAGCUAGUAGGGGGGGUAAAGGCUCACCUAGGCGACGAUCCCUAGCUGGUCUGAGAGGAUGACCAGCAAAACUGGAACUGAGACACGGUCAAGACUCCUACGGGAGGCAGCAGUGGGGAAUAUUGGACAAUGGGCGAAAGCCUGAUCCAGCCAUGCCGCGUGUGUGAAGAAGGUCUUCGGAUUGUAAAGCACUUUAAGUUGGGAGGCGUUACCAACAGAAUAAGCACCGGCUAACUUCGUGCCAGCAGCCGCGGUAAUUC
This 406-nucleotide ribosomal RNA is filed under the name uncultured bacterium. RNAcentral's name for it is "partial 16S ribosomal RNA". It matches the Rfam family "Bacterial small subunit ribosomal RNA", at positions 30 to 526 of the family's 1533-position model. The record is from RNAcentral.